This 468-nucleotide ribosomal RNA is filed under the name uncultured bacterium. RNAcentral describes it as "partial 16S ribosomal RNA". It matches the Rfam family "Bacterial small subunit ribosomal RNA", at positions 28 to 507 of the family's 1533-position model. The record is from RNAcentral.
GACGAACGCUGGCGGCGUGCUUAACACAUGCAAGUCGAACGGAAAGGCCCUGCUUUUGUGGGUUUCUCGAGUGGCGAACGGGUGAGUAACACGUGAGUAACCUGCCCUUGACUUUGGGAUAACUUCAGGAAACUGGGGCUCAUACCGGGUAGGAGCUCCUGCUGCGUGGUGGGGGUUGGAAAGUUUCGGCGGUUGGGGCUGGACUCGCGGCUUAUCCGCUUGUUGGUGGGGUAGUGGAUUACAAAGGCUUUGACGGGUAGCCGGCCUUGGAGGGUGACCGGCCACAUUGGGACUGAGAGACGGACCAGACUCGUACGGGAGGCAGCAGUGGGGAAUAUGGCACAAUGGGCGGAAGCCUGAUGCAGCAACGCCGCGUGCGGGAUGACGGCCUUCGGGUUGUAAACCGCUUUCGCCUGUGACGAAGCGUGAGUGACGGUAAUGGGUAAAGAAGCACCGGCUAACUACGUG